Molecule: unclassified non-coding RNA, 1001 nt
Filed under: Bombus terrestris (buff-tailed bumblebee)
Lineage: Eukaryota; Metazoa; Arthropoda; Insecta; Hymenoptera; Apidae
Description: misc RNA ENSBTSG00005027804.1
Source: RNAcentral
GUCUGUUGUCUCUCACCGGUUCUCCCUCUCCUCGAAGCAACACUAUAUAAACAAAAGAGAUCGGUACGGAAUCGAGCGAUUCGUCGAUCACGCAAUCUCCUUUUGACCGUCCUACGUGAAACAACCCACUUAACGUCUGGCUCUGUUGCCGCGAAGGGCACAGGCGAAACUGGUUUCAAAAUAUACAAAGCGAGUGUCGCGUUGCAACAAUUACGUCGAUACUUUGAGAACGUUCGUAUUCUGUACACUUUACGAUGUGAUCGUAAUCCAUAUUUCAAAAAUUUAUCGCAAGAAGUAUGAAUGUAUUAGAUUUUACAGAAUAUUUUCUACACAAAAGGCAUUCUUCAUUAAAACGAAGAAACUACGUUUCCUUUGAAAGUCGAAAACUUGGAAAAUUUUCGAGAAACGUUCGUACCAACCACUUUUGUUUUGAAACGGUCCCUUUGGCUGACGCGUAACGAGCGAAAAAGCGAACUUCACCGGUAUAUUGCCUAAGGAAAUUCGUAUUCAAGUUCGUCUAAACGCUUUUGAAGGAGUCACGUUUUAAUUCCAUUGAGAAGAUGAAGAGGUUCGUUACGAAAAUGUAACAGGAUAAAUGGAAGGAUCCGAAGAAAAGCCGGUAAAUGAAAGGAACAGCGAGAGAACAACCCGAAGCUCGGCCGAGAAUACCUUGCAAUGGAAUCGAUUAAACAGAAUUGAGAAUCGGGUCUGUAAACAUAUACAAUGAACUGUAAAAAAAAAGAAUGAAGAAAAAGAAUAAAAAAUGAUUUAGCCGCGGAAGAUAAUAUGUCGCUGAAACUCCGCCCCUCGAUUCGAUUCAGACACUGGCCAGGUGAAACUUAAUUAUCGCCAUCGGAUAAUCGCCUCUAAGAACACACCUCGUCCAAGAAUAAUCGUUGUCUGCUGGAAACAUCGAUCUCUUGGACGAUUUUUUUAAAACACGAGCAAACAAAAAGAAAAAGAAAGCGUAAUAAAAGAUGCGAUUUAUCAAGAAAACGGAG